RNAcentral lists this ribosomal RNA (254 nucleotides) under uncultured bacterium. RNAcentral describes it as "partial 16S ribosomal RNA". It matches the Rfam family "Bacterial small subunit ribosomal RNA", at positions 524 to 776 of the family's 1533-position model. The record is from RNAcentral.
UACGGGGGGAGCAAGCGUUGUUCGGAUUUACUGGGCGUAAAGGGCGCGUAGGCGGCCAGCGCAAGUCAGUUGUGAAAUCUCCGGGCUUAACUCGGAACGGUCAACUGAUACUGCGCGGCUAGAGUGCAGAAGGGGCAACUGGAAUUCCUGGUGUAGCGGUGGAAUGCGCAGAUAUCAGGAGGAACACCAAUGGCGAAGGCAGAUCUCUGGGCCGUAACUGACGCUGAGGAGCGAAAGCAUGGGGAGCGAACAGG